This 236-nucleotide ribosomal RNA is filed under the name uncultured Actinomycetales bacterium. RNAcentral describes it as "partial 16S ribosomal RNA". It matches the Rfam family "Bacterial small subunit ribosomal RNA", at positions 96 to 334 of the family's 1533-position model. Lineage: Bacteria; Bacillati; Actinomycetota; Actinomycetes; Actinomycetales. The record is from RNAcentral.
UGGCGAACGGGUGAGUAACACGUGGGUGAUCUGCCCUGCACUCUGGGAUAAGCCUUGGGAAACUGGGUCUAAUACCGGAUAGGACCAUGCUUUAGUGUGUGUGGUGGAAAGUUUUUUCGGUGUAGGAUGAGCCCGCGGCCUAUCAGCUUGUUGGUGGGGUAAUGGCCUACCAAGGCGGCGACGGGUAGCCGGACUGAGAGGUUGGUCGGCCACAUUGGGACUGAGAUACGGCCCAG